GUGCUUGCUUCGGCAGCACAUAUACUAAAAUUGGAACAGCACACUUAAAGUAGAUUAGCAUGGCCCCUGUGCAAGGAUGACAUGUAAACUCACGAAGCGUUCCGUAUUUCU
Choloepus didactylus (southern two-toed sloth) is the source of this 111-nucleotide small nuclear RNA. The record is from RefSeq and is a predicted model, not a curated record. Lineage: Eukaryota; Metazoa; Chordata; Mammalia; Pilosa; Megalonychidae.